RNAcentral lists this ribosomal RNA (478 nucleotides) under uncultured bacterium. RNAcentral's name for it is "partial 16S ribosomal RNA". It matches the Rfam family "Bacterial small subunit ribosomal RNA", at positions 28 to 507 of the family's 1533-position model. The record is from RNAcentral.
GAUGAACGCUGGCGGCGUGCUUAACACAUGCAAGUCGAACGGGAAUUACUUUAUUGAAACUUCGGUCGAUUUAAUUUAAUUCUAGUGGCGGACGGGUGAGUAACGCGUGGGUAACCUGCCUUAUACAGGGGGAUAACAGUCAGAAAUGGCUGCUAAUACCGCAUAAGCGCACAGAGCUGCAUGGCUCGGUGUGAAAAACUCCGGUGGUAUAAGGUGGACCCGCGUUGGAUUAGCUUGUUGGUGGGGUAACGGCCCACCAAGGCGACGAUCCAUAGCCGGCCUGAGAGGGUGAACGGCCACAUUGGGACUGAGACACGGCCCAGACUCCUACGGGAGGCAGCAGUGGGGAAUAUUGCACAAUGGGGGAAACCCUGAUGCAGCGACGCCGCGUGAAGGAAGAAGUAUCUCGGUAUGUAAACUUCUAUCAGCAGGGAAGAUAGUGACGGUACCUGACUAAGAAGCCCCGGCUAACUACGUG